AUACAACUGACGAGGCCCAAAUAAGAUGAAACGCUCGUCCUGGAU
Molecule: non-coding RNA, 45 nt
Organism: Schistosoma mattheei
Lineage: Eukaryota; Metazoa; Platyhelminthes; Trematoda; Strigeidida; Schistosomatidae
Source: Rfam